Long non-coding RNA from Bos taurus (domestic cattle), 590 nucleotides. Lineage: Eukaryota; Metazoa; Chordata; Mammalia; Artiodactyla; Bovidae. The record is from Ensembl.
GGGAGUGAAGCCUGCCGCCAUGUCCUGACCACCAUUGGCCCCCACACGUUGGGGUGUUGCUCCAGGAUAUUGCUUCAGAAAAGGGGAAGUGGAGAGGAAUGAAAACAGGGGACCAGUUAGCAGGUUGCUGUGUUAAUCGAGUUCCCAGCACAGUGGUGGCACCAAGCCAUGCUCAGAAGUUGAAGAAAUGAACCAAGGAAGUCUCAAGGGUGAGAAUGGAAACUGGGUGGCUGCGCAUCUAUUUCCUCAACCCUCUGUCCUCACCGCCAACCAAAUCCCCCUGGCGCCAAGCUUGAGCAUCCUGCUUGGCAGUCCACAUACCUGUGUACAUGGAGGCCAUGCCCCUGAGCACACCCUCGUGCAGGAAGAGUGGACGGUUAUGCGUAGCCAGGACUGACAUGAAGUCAUCACUCUGGUAAUUUGGGCAACUUCCUUGAGUUCAAAUCUUUGCUCAUAGCUGCUUUGGGCUACUGCUGUGUGAUGAAAUGGUGUAACUCACAUACAUGUAACUCCUCUGCCUGCGCCUUCGAGGCAGUCAAAGGAUGCAAGUUUUCCCUGUGACGGGUUAGCGGGGCUGGUUGGAAUUUAUC